AACGGCCGUACCAUGCUGAAUAUACCGGUUCUCGUUAGAUCACCGAAGUCAAGCAUCAUUGGGCGCGGUCAGUACUUGGGUGGAACACCGCGUG
This is a non-coding RNA of Caerostris darwini, 94 nucleotides long. The record is from the annotation of a GenBank genome assembly. Lineage: Eukaryota; Metazoa; Arthropoda; Arachnida; Araneae; Araneidae.